Long non-coding RNA from Rosa rugosa (rugosa rose), 418 nucleotides. RefSeq lists it as uncharacterized. The transcript has 3 exons. The record is from RefSeq and is a predicted model, not a curated record. Lineage: Eukaryota; Viridiplantae; Streptophyta; Magnoliopsida; Rosales; Rosaceae.
CUUUGCCUCUAGCUGAAAUCGGUAAAUCCCAAGUUGACUUCUUUGAUUGAUUGUGUCAUAUUUAUCUUGAACAUGUAUAACAAAAUAUGUAUUACAAUGCAGGUAUUAGUACUCUUUUGGCAAACUGUGAUGAUCUCAAAAUAAAUCAAGACCCAAGAACUGCUUAAGUUGUCAAGCAACUAAAUCAAGGCUUUAGCUUGUUAUAUGUGUAUUGAGUGAACCAGAAUUACUUCAAAGUUAGAGAAAUGGUUGUUUAUGUGAUGUAAGGUUGAAACUCAGAGAGAAAGCUCAAGAGUUGGAAUGCUUGAGGAGUUGAAAAGUGAAUGGUUCUUUCAAGAAUUCAGUUAGCAGUUUCAAUGGCUGUGAGAAGUAUAAAAGACCAAUGUGGACAAACACUGAAUUAGAAAAGCAUUAUGUG